ACGUAGGGGGCAAGCGUUGUCCGGAGUUACUGGGCGUAAAGCGCACGCAGGCGGUCGAUUAAGUUUGGAGUGACAGUUGGUGGCUUAACUGCCAAAGUGCUUCGAAAACUGAUCGACUUGAGGGCUUCAGAGGGACACGGAAUUCCGGGUGGAGUGGUGAAAUGCGUAGAGAUCCGGAGGAACACCGAAGGCGAAGGCAGUGUCCUGGGGAGUACCUGACGCUCAGGUGCGAAAGCCAGGGGAGCGAACGGGA
This 253-nucleotide ribosomal RNA is filed under the name uncultured prokaryote. Its description in RNAcentral is "partial 16S ribosomal RNA". It matches the Rfam family "Bacterial small subunit ribosomal RNA", at positions 525 to 777 of the family's 1533-position model. The record is from RNAcentral.